This 245-nucleotide unclassified non-coding RNA is filed under the name plant metagenome. Its description in RNAcentral is "partial contains small subunit ribosomal RNA, internal transcribed spacer 1, and 5.8S ribosomal RNA". The stretch from base 197 to 245 matches the Rfam family "5.8S ribosomal RNA", at positions 1 to 49 of the family's 154-position model. The record is from RNAcentral.
UCUCCGUUGGUGAACCAGCGGAGGGAUCAUUACAGGACUCGCAAGACUCCUACAACCCUGUGAACUUAACUAUAAGCACGUUGCUUCGGCGGGUGUCUCGGAGGGGGUUCUCCCUCCCCGAGACGCUAAACCCGCCGGCAGCCUACUAUACUCUGUCUCUUUGCGUUGGCAUCUCGAGUACAAUCAAACAAGUUAAAACUUUCAACAACGGAUCUCUUGGUUCUGGCAUCGAUGAAGAAUGCAGC